This 602-nucleotide ribosomal RNA is filed under the name Bacillus subtilis. RNAcentral's name for it is "bacterial SSU rRNA". It matches the Rfam family "Bacterial small subunit ribosomal RNA", at positions 750 to 1352 of the family's 1533-position model. Lineage: Bacteria; Bacillati; Bacillota; Bacilli; Caryophanales; Bacillaceae. The record is from RNAcentral.
GGAGCGAAAGCGUGGGGAGCGAACAGGAUUAGAUACCCUGGUAGUCCACGCCGUAAACGAUGAGUGCUAAGUGUUAGGGGGUUUCCGCCCCUUAGUGCUGCAGCUAACGCAUUAAGCACUCCGCCUGGGGAGUACGGUCGCAAGACUGAAACUCAAAGGAAUUGACGGGGGCCCGCACAAGCGGUGGAGCAUGUGGUUUAAUUCGAAGCAACGCGAAGAACCUUACCAGGUCUUGACAUCCUCUGACAAUCCUAGAGAUAGGACGUCCCCUUCGGGGGCAGAGUGACAGGUGGUGCAUGGUUGUCGUCAGCUCGUGUCGUGAGAUGUUGGGUUAAGUCCCGCAACGAGCGCAACCCUUGAUCUUAGUUGCCAGCAUUCAGUUGGGCACUCUAAGGUGACUGCCGGUGACAAACCGGAGGAAGGUGGGGAUGACGUCAAAUCAUCAUGCCCCUUAUGANCUGGGCUACACACGUGCUACAAUGGANAGAACAAAGGGCAGCGAAACCGCGAGGUUAAGCCAAUCCCACAAAUCUGUUCUCAGUUCGGAUCGCAGUCUGCAACUCGACUGCGUGAAGCUGGAAUCGCUAGUAAUCGCGGAUCAG